UACAGAGGUGGCGAGCGUUAAUCGGAAUUACUGGGCGUAAAGCGUGCGCAGGCGGUUCGUUGUGUCGGUGGUGAAAGCCCCGGGCUUAACCUGGGAAUGGCCAUGGAAACUGGCGAACUGGAGUGUGGCAGAGGGGGGUGGAAUUCCGCGUGUAGCAGUGAAAUGCGUAGAGAUGCGGAGGAACACCGAUGGCGAAGGCAGCCCCCUGGGCUAGCACUGACGCUCAGGCACGAAAGCGUGGGGAGCAAACAGG
RNAcentral lists this ribosomal RNA (253 nucleotides) under uncultured bacterium. Its description in RNAcentral is "partial 16S ribosomal RNA". It matches the Rfam family "Bacterial small subunit ribosomal RNA", at positions 524 to 776 of the family's 1533-position model. The record is from RNAcentral.